This 467-nucleotide ribosomal RNA is filed under the name uncultured bacterium. RNAcentral's name for it is "partial 16S ribosomal RNA". It matches the Rfam family "Bacterial small subunit ribosomal RNA", at positions 28 to 507 of the family's 1533-position model. The record is from RNAcentral.
GACGAACGCUGGCGGCGUGCUUAACACAUGCAAGUCGAACGGAAAGGCCUCUUUCGGGGGGUACUCGAGUGGCGAACUGGUGAGUAACACGUGAGUAACCUGCCCUUUACUUUGUGAUAACUUCAGGAAACUGUGGCUAAUACCUGAUAGGAGCUCCUGCUGCCUGGUGGGUGUUGGAAAUUUUCGGCGGUUUGGUAUGGACUCGCGGCUUAUCAGCUUUUUGGUGUUGUAGUGGCUUACCAAGGCUUUGACGGGUAUCCGGCCAGAGUGGGUGACCGGCGACAUUGGGACUGAGAGAAGGCCCAGACUCCGAAGGGAGGCAGAAGUGGGGAAUAUUGAAAAAUGGGUGGAAGCCUGAUGCAGCAACGCCGUGUGCGGGAUGACGGCCUUCGGGUUGAAAAAAGAUUUCGCUAAUGAAGAAGCUUUGUGUGACGGUAGUGGGUAAAGAAGCACCGGCUAACUACGUG